UUACAGUCGCCAAAUUGCAUGGAAUUCGUAUGUGCGUUUGCAAGAUCAAGGGCAUUUUUUUAAUUCUACUAAUACAGAAUAAGCAAGCAAGCGAAGGAAAAAUCUGCAAUUUUUGUGGGGUACGGUAAAAGCUUUCGUGAAAUUGGACAAGUUGUCAACAGAGCAAAGUCAUCAGUGCGAUACGUCAUCCAGACUUUCAAAAAAACGGGAAUUAUUACUUCAAAGUCUCAAUCUGAACGUCCGAGAGUAUUGACUAAUCUGGAAACAAGCAAAGUUGUAUCUCUUGUGAAGGUUAAUCCGCUUUUAAUCGCGUCCUAGAUAGCAGAAUAUGUAAAACUACAGUAUCCAGCGACACAGCAAGAAAAAUAUUGAAAAGGGCUGGUUAUCAUGGGCGAGUGGCACGCAAAAAGCUAUUAAUUUCCUUAAAAAAUCGUAUGAAGCGCAUUUUUUCGCAAAUAUAACCAUGCUUAUACCUUUCUGGGAAUCGGGUUUAUGGUCGGAUGAGACGAAAUAUUGUAUAUUUGGAAUAAAAGGAAGAAAGAUAGUGUGGCAAAAAACUGGUACGGCUUUUGAAGAAUUUUGAAGAAUCUUACUUAAACCGUGAAGCAUGGUGGGGAUGAAGUUCUAGUGUGUGGGUGUAUGGCAGGAAGUGGAGUUGGUUGCAUUAAGUUUAUCGAAAAUAUAAUGAAUAAAUUUGAUUAUUUAAAUAUUUUAAGUCGACAAAUGAAGCAAAGUGCUGACAAAUUAGGAUUGCCAAACGUGUUUUGUUUCCCACAGGACAAUAACCCUAAACAUACAGCAGAACUCGCCCUUGGUUUCUUUACACUGCUCCAAAACAGCUACAUUCACCUCCACAAUUACCUGACCUCAUUCCAAUUAAGCAUUUAUGGGCUCUAAUGGAGCGCUGAAUUCGCACACAUACGAUUACCAGCACAGAAAUGCUCAAGACCGUUUUAUUGGAUGAAUGGAGUAAAAUGCCGGCUGAAAAUACGAGGAAAUUAGUACAUUCCAUGCCUAAACGUCUACCAGAAGUUCUAAAAUUUCGAGGCUACCCCACCAGCUAUUAAACUUUUCAUAAUUACUUGAUAUUAUUGUGUUCAGUUUGAUGAGCGGAGACUUUUUCCAUUUAAGUAAAUGAAUUCUGUGUCUUUUGUUUAUUAAAUUAUUUGAAUUUUUUUAAAC
Long non-coding RNA from Bactrocera oleae (olive fruit fly), 1182 nucleotides. RefSeq lists it as uncharacterized. Lineage: Eukaryota; Metazoa; Arthropoda; Insecta; Diptera; Tephritidae. The record is from RefSeq and is a predicted model, not a curated record.